RNAcentral lists this ribosomal RNA (530 nucleotides) under uncultured Aquificales bacterium. RNAcentral describes it as "bacterial SSU rRNA". It matches the Rfam family "Bacterial small subunit ribosomal RNA", at positions 21 to 526 of the family's 1533-position model. The record is from RNAcentral. Lineage: Bacteria; Pseudomonadati; Aquificota; Aquificia; Aquificales.
GGCUCACCGCGAACGCUGGCGGCGUGCCUAACACAUGCAAGUCGUGCGGAGGGGUGAUGAGCCCCUCAGCGGCAAACGGGUGAGUAACACGUGAGUAACCUGCCCCUGGGAAGGGGAUAACCCUCCGAAAGGGGGGCUAAUACCCUAUAUUGCCGGGGACCACUAAGGUCACCCGGUGAAAGGUGGCCUCUGCCCUUCAUGGGUAUGCUACCGCCCAGGGAGGGGCUCGCGGCCCAUCAGGUAGUUGGUGGGGUAACGGCCUACCAAGCCUAUGACGGGUAGCCGGCCUGAGAGGGUGGCCGGCCACAGUGGGACUGAGACACGGCCCACACCCCUACGGGGGGCAGCAGUGGGGAAUCGUGGGCAAUGGGCGAAAGCCUGACCCCGCGACGCCGCGUGGGGGAUGAAGCCCUUCGGGGUGUAAACCCCUGUCGGGGGGGACGAUGUGUCCUGGGGUGAAUAAUCCCAGGGCAUGACGGUACCCCCAGAGGAAGGGACGGCUAACUACGUGCCAGCAGCCGCGGUAAUAC